GUCCGCGCCCCGCCUCCCGUCAGCCCUCGCGUUGCGCGUGCGCCUCGGAACAGCCACUGUUCCCCUGCUCCUCUUCCCGGGUGCCUUGAAGGAAGCACCUUUGCUCUGCUGCACCCAUCAGCAUGCCGUUUCCACCUUGGAGCCAGCUGACCAUCGACCGGAUCCUCUGUAAAAGGUUUUGCAAGGUGGCUUGGGGAAGAAAAGUGAAGAGGCAAAGACUUCGUAAAGAAAAUCCAAGUAAAUAAUUUUUCAUUAAAAAUUAAAGUGUGUAUUUAAAAGGCAGUCAUGUAUAUGCUUCAAAAUUUGGGGCAUGAGGAAAGUUUUCACCUGUCAGAAAUCAUGUUCUUUCCGCUAGUUUCCAGAUGUUGGCCUCCUCUCUAACAAUGUCCCCCUACUCUUCACCGUAUUUGUGCUUUUGUCCUGUUGAAUGGGGGAAGCCAAAUGUUCCUUGAGUUACAGCACCAUGAAAAUAAGCAGAAGCAUUCAAUAAGCAGAAACAUAUCUGAAUGAAAAUAAACACUGUCCUUAGUUUGUGAUUAUUUAAGACUUUCAAACAAUAUAAACAGCUUUUGUUGUUAACAAACAGAAACAAAAAGGUUAGAUUUUAAAGACACAAUAUCUAACGUAAGUAGAUUAGUAAAGUAGUGUCUCAGGUGUGUUGUCUACUAAUAAUAGAACACUCGAAUGCCUUGAAUAAUUUACUCUUAAAUCUCUCACCUGUUCAACCAACCAUAAAAUUGCUCCUUACUUAAUAUCAAAUGACAACUUUGAUUUAUGAUGACAUGUGAAUUCAACUGAGAGGAUAAAUACUCCUAGGAAUAAAUACACUUUGAUCUCAAUGGGCAAAGUAAAACUUUAAAUUAAAAAUAACAUGAAAAAUACUUUUAUUUUUGCAUAUAAAUAUGCAGAGUGUCCCCUUGUUUGACUAGUAAAGUGUUCUGUGUAUGUCUAGGAGGCAUGAUUGAAAAAUAUGGUGUGUGCUUAAAUAAAAAUACAUUUAUUUAACUAGAA
Long non-coding RNA from Cavia porcellus (domestic guinea pig), 1011 nucleotides. RefSeq lists it as uncharacterized. The record is from RefSeq and is a predicted model, not a curated record. The transcript has 3 exons. Lineage: Eukaryota; Metazoa; Chordata; Mammalia; Rodentia; Caviidae.